GAACCAUCAUUGUUACAUAUACUAAAAUUAGAACGAUACAGAGAAGACUAGCAUGGCCCCUGUGCAAGGAUGACAUGCAAAUAAAAAAAAAUAAAAAAAAUAAA
This is a small nuclear RNA of Sorex fumeus (smoky shrew), 104 nucleotides long. The record is from RefSeq and is a predicted model, not a curated record. NCBI's taxonomy places the organism in Eukaryota, Metazoa, Chordata, Mammalia, Eulipotyphla, Soricidae.